Ictidomys tridecemlineatus (thirteen-lined ground squirrel) is the source of this 270-nucleotide long non-coding RNA. RefSeq lists it as uncharacterized. NCBI's taxonomy places the organism in Eukaryota, Metazoa, Chordata, Mammalia, Rodentia, Sciuridae. The record is from RefSeq and is a predicted model, not a curated record.
ACAUUUGCUGAGUUGCAGAACUGACUCAUUGAUUGCACUACAGUUAUACUGUUGAGUAACUUUCAUGGAGGGAAACCAGAAUCACGACCACAGCUUUUAAGGGACUACAGUUCUUCUAACUCCAAGGACAGAUAUGGAGAAGAAAUUGCUGAAAAGGGGGAAAGAACAAUGACAGAUAUUGGGCAGAUAUGUUAGCAACAGUGAAGAAUAAUCAUUAAAGUCGUAAAUUGGAAAAGAGAAAAUCUGGGAGAUAAUGAGAAGUUAAAAGGU